GGAGAGGUGGCUGAGUGGUCGAAAGCGCCUCACUGCUAACGAGGUAGGGUUUAAAAGCCCUCGAGGGUUCAAAUCCCUCCCUCUCCG
This 87-nucleotide transfer RNA is filed under the name Candidatus Kerfeldbacteria bacterium. RNAcentral's name for it is "tRNA-Ser". It matches the Rfam family "tRNA". From Rfam's summary of the family: Transfer RNA (tRNA) molecules are approximately 80 nucleotides in length. The record is from RNAcentral. Lineage: Bacteria; Candidatus Kerfeldiibacteriota.